RNAcentral lists this long non-coding RNA (408 nucleotides) under Elaeis guineensis (African oil palm). Its description in RNAcentral is "long non-coding RNA (EGUI_LNC052406)". Lineage: Eukaryota; Viridiplantae; Streptophyta; Magnoliopsida; Arecales; Arecaceae. The record is from RNAcentral.
GCUGCUUCCUUAAGUGCCUGGUUGAGAUGAUAGUGAUUGGUAGAUCCACCAGUGUGGUUUCUCCUUUUGGAUUGGUAUGAGUUCUUAGUAAAUGCUACUGUUCUAAAUAUCCCUAACACUACUUCCCUGAGUGCCUGGCUGAGAUGAUUGAGUAGAUCCAGUAGUGUGCUUUCUCCUUCUGACAUUUGUAUGAGUUCUUAAUAAAUCCAUGGUGAUAUGGCUUGCACCUUCUCUACUCAAAUGUCUCACCGUACCUGAUCUCUAUGAGUUUAAUCAAUAUUGAUAUGAGCUGAGUUUUGUUAGACCAAUCAAUAAUGAUAUAAAUCUGACCAUAAAAAUUUCUCCCCAGUACCUGGUGAGAGAUAUAGCCUAUAACCCCUGGGUAGCCUUUUCUGCUUGGCUUCUUCU